This 771-nucleotide long non-coding RNA is filed under the name Cebus imitator (Panamanian white-faced capuchin). RNAcentral's name for it is "lncRNA (ENSCCAG00000038243.1)". Lineage: Eukaryota; Metazoa; Chordata; Mammalia; Primates; Cebidae. The record is from RNAcentral.
CCACCCGCAGGGCAGAGGGGAGAGCAGGGAGGAGGUACCCCCACGGCAGGCCACCUCCCCCUCCCACUCAGCCCCAGAGGACCCAGCUGCCUGAAGUGGGUGAACAGGGCCCCCUCAGUGCCUGAUAAGGGCCAGCCCACGUCGUGCCCAAAAGCUCUGCUGCCCGGGACCCAGGUCAACAGAGGCACCCAGCAAGGGGGAAUUCCCCAAGCCAGACACUGCGGAGGCAGAGGACGCAAUCCCCACCAGCUCCUGGGACCCAUGGGCCGGGUCCCUUCCAGGCUUCUGCCCAGCUCCUCUUCUCCUGCCCCUGCCUCUGUCCAGGUGCUGCUAGGGCUUGGCUGCCCAACCCUGAUCAGAAAGAGCCGUGUCUGGCUGGGCAGUGGCUCAUGCUCGUAAUCCCAGCACUUUGGGAGGCCAAAGAGGAUGGAUCGUGUGAGCGCAGGAGUUCGGGACAAGCCUGGGUAAUGUGGUAAAACCCGGUCUAUACAAAAAAUACAAAAAGUAGCCGCGUAUGGUGACGUGCGCCUAUAGUCCCAGCUACUCAGGAGGCUGAGGUGGGAGGAUCACUUGAAGCCAGGAGGUCAAGGCCGCCAUGAGCUAAGAUCACAACACUGCACUCUGGCCUGGGCAACAGAGCAAGACCCUGUCUCAGAAAAAAAAAAAAAAAACCAUGGAUGUCUGAGCUGCAGGGCCUCCCACAUCCCUGAAUCCCAUUAACCAUCUCCCAAGUGAGCAGAGGGAGGCCAAGAGAGGGCAAGCAGGGGACCA